ACCCUACUGCUAUCGGGGUAGGACUAAGCCAUGCAAGUCGAGCGUUUCCUAGCUAUGUUGGAGACGCGGCAUACUGCUCAGUAACACGUGGUUAACCUGCCCUUAGGACCAGGACAACCCCGGGAAACUGGGACUAAUCCUGGAUAGAUGAGGUUUCCUGAAAUGGUGCUUCGUUGAAAAGGCAUCAAGAGCAUGUUUUUGAUGUUGCCUAAGGAUGGGACCGCGUCCGAUCAGGUUGUUGGUGGGGUAACGGCUCACCAAGCCUAUAACCGGUACGGGCCCUGAGAGGGGGAGCCCGGAGAUGGAACCUGAGACAAUGUUCCAGGCCCUAUGGGGCGCAGCAGGCGCGAAACCUCCACAAUGCACGAAAGUGUGAUGGGGUUACCCCGAGUGCCUUCCGUUGAGGAGGGCUUUUAACUGGUGUAACAAGCCAGUAGAAUAAGGGGGGGGCAAGAUUGGUGUCAGCCGCCGCGGUAAUACCAACCCCCCGAGUGGUAGGGACAAUUAUUUGGCUUAAAGCGUUCGUAGCCGGCUUGGAUAGUCUUCCGUUAAAUCCAGCGACUAAUCGUUGGGCUGCGGAAGAUACUUUCAAGCUAGGAGGCGGAAGAGGUCGGCGGUAUUCCUAGGGGAGGGGUGAAAUCCUAUAAUCCUAGGAGGACCACCAGUGGCGAAGGCGGCCGACCAGUACGCGCUCGACGGUGAGGGACGAAAGCUGGGGGAGCGAACCGGAUUAGAUACCCGGGUAGUCCCAGCCGUAAACGAUGCANGCUAGGUGUCGGGGUGGCUACGUGCCGCUUCGGUGCCGCAGGGAAACCGUUAAGCCUGCCGCCUGGGGAGUACGACCGCAAGGUUGAAACUUAAAGGAAUUGGCGGGGGAGCACUACAAGGGGUGAAGGCUGCGGUUUAAUUGGAGUCAACGCCGGACAGCUUACCGGGGGCGACAGCAGGAUGAAGGUCAGAUUGAGGGUCUUACCAGACAAGCUGAGAGGUGGUGCAUGGCCGUCGCCAGUUCGUGCCGUGAGGUGUCCUGUUAAGUCAGGUAACGAACGAGACCCCCACCGCCAGUUGCCAUCGAACUCCGUUGGGGUGGCGAGCACUCUGGUGGGACUGCCGUCGAUAAGACGGAGGAAGGAGGGGGCAACGGCAGGUCAGUAUGCCCCGAAUCCCUCGGGCUACACGCGGCCUGCAAUGGUAGGUACAGAGGGUUUCGACCCCGAAAGGGGGAGGUAAUCCCUAAAACCUAUCGUAGUCGGGAUCGAGGACUGAAACUCGUCCUCGUGAACAUGGAAUCCCUAGUAAUCGCGUGUCAUUAUCGCGCGGUGAAUACGUCCCUGCUCCUUGCACACACCGCCCGUCGCUCCAUCCGAAUUGGGUCUAGAUGAGGCAUAGUCUUACAGGCCGUGUCGAAUCUGGGUUCAGUAAGGGGGGAG
Molecule: ribosomal RNA, 1430 nt
Filed under: uncultured archaeon
Lineage: Archaea
Description: bacterial SSU rRNA
Rfam family: Archaeal small subunit ribosomal RNA
Source: RNAcentral